CACCCUAUGCUGUGCAUUGUGCUGGGGCCCAGAUCAUCAGAGGGGACCCAUCCCUGCUCCCACGCCUGCUUACUGUCUAGCAAAGGAGAUGAGCAUUCGACCCUGGGAUCUCAGACACGUGUGGAAUUCCAGUGUGCUAGAAGCCUCUACCUCUUAUGAGGUGCACUAGGAAGGAAGAGGAGAUAUUGGAGCCCAAAUGACCAGCAGGCAGAGGGACUGCACCAGCAGGAAGACCAUCCUCCCCUCCCCAUCACCCCCUCCUUGCUCACGUGCUCCCCUGUCCCCCAAGUGACCAGAAGGGGGAGGGAGUAAAGGGGAUGUUUCCAUGGGACAAUAUUUAAAUUCAGCUCUUCUCUGAAUGUUUUUAGUUACAAAAGUAACAUAUACUCAUCAGAGCACCCCAGGCAGUGCCUGUAACCUCAGUCCGAAGUAGGCAACGCCGUCUGCUGGGUGUGUGUACCUCACACCACUCUCUGUGCUCAUGCAAAUCAUGUGUUUUAAGCAUGAGCCUUCAACUCAAUUCUCAUCUCCCCUGAGACGCUCGCUGCCUUUCAGAUGCUUGGUAAGUCCCGUCACCUCCUUUGCCUGAUGUAGAGGCAGCAAUCACAGAGGGAGGGUGCACAUUUUUAGGCACCCCCAGCCUCCUUGGCUUUUUUGUGUGAAGACCCUUCCUCAGGGUGGUCACAGCUGUGGGGUCGGAGGCAUGACCCCCCUCCAGCACAACCUGCAUCCUCCUGGACAGCCCAGCACCCUGUUCAGCAAGGAGGGAGAACUGAGUCCCUCUCCUCAGGCUGUGCCCGGGAUUCCACGGCAAGAGCAGAAACACUUCCUCAUCAUUUUGCAAACACAAAAAUAUGGAACAAGCGGCCACGUUAGACAUUGGGUGCUUGGAGCCUGCCCCUCCCAGGGAGCACCCAAUUCCCUGUUGAGGACUACAGCCCCGCUCCAGCCUGGAGAGGCUGUCAGUCCAGCUGCCCGCCCCUGCCCAGAAGUGGAUCUCCAGGUGGGGGGGACCCACAGGGUCGGGGAAGAGGGUCAGUUCAUCAGCCCACAGCAGAGCUGGGCCAGGCUGGAGGCAGGAGCUGCUACCCACUCAUCCCCAAGGUGGCCACUUGCCCCCUAUAGUGUCCCUGGUCUUGCCUUCUUUUCCAAGCUAGGAAUCCUCAACACCCUCCCAAUAAAUUCUCUUUUGGUUAAGUUACCCAGAGUCAGUUUCUAUGGAUUGUUUGUGACCAUGGAAUGCCAAG
Molecule: long non-coding RNA, 1247 nt
Filed under: Equus asinus (donkey)
Lineage: Eukaryota; Metazoa; Chordata; Mammalia; Perissodactyla; Equidae
Description: lncRNA (ENSEASG00005029133.1)
Source: RNAcentral